Long non-coding RNA from Beta vulgaris subsp. vulgaris (sugar beet), 218 nucleotides. RefSeq lists it as uncharacterized. The record is from RefSeq and is a predicted model, not a curated record. NCBI's taxonomy places the organism in Eukaryota, Viridiplantae, Streptophyta, Magnoliopsida, Caryophyllales, Amaranthaceae. The transcript is spliced from 3 exons.
UUGCUCUGAUUUCUCACAUGCAAUCACUUCCCUAGGUUCUUCAAGGUGUUGUUCAUACUGGGUAGACGUUAGUUUUGAGGUUUCAACAUUGUAAGCCAAAGAAAAACUAAGGAAGGUCUUAAAGAGUUGCUGGAGGAGUAGUACGAGUUGCUAAGCAAGGGCUAAAUUCCUAAACACCAAAUUAAGUUGUUUUGCAGGAAUAAGCUGAAGGUCAAAGA